UACGGAGGGUGCAAGCGUUAUCCGGAUUUACUGGGUUUAAAGGGUUCGUAGGUGGCCAACUAAGUCAUACGUGAAAUCCCUCAGCUUAACUGGGGAACUGCGUCUGAUACUGGUUGGCUUGAGUGCAGGAGAGGAACGCGGAAUUCCAGGUGUAGCGGUGAAAUGCGUAGAUAUCUGGAGGAACACCGGUGGCGAAGGCGGCGUUCUGGACUGCAACUGACACUGAGGAACGAAAGCCAGGGGAGCAAACGGG
RNAcentral lists this ribosomal RNA (253 nucleotides) under uncultured bacterium. Its description in RNAcentral is "partial 16S ribosomal RNA". It matches the Rfam family "Bacterial small subunit ribosomal RNA", at positions 524 to 776 of the family's 1533-position model. The record is from RNAcentral.